RNAcentral lists this ribosomal RNA (463 nucleotides) under Phoma herbarum. RNAcentral's name for it is "eukaryotic LSU rRNA". The stretch from base 130 to 283 matches the Rfam family "5.8S ribosomal RNA". The record is from RNAcentral. Lineage: Eukaryota; Fungi; Ascomycota; Dothideomycetes; Pleosporales; Didymellaceae.
UUGGGCUUUGCCUGCUAUCUCUUACCCAUGUCUUUUGAGUACUUACGUUUCCUCGGUGGGUUCGCCCGCCGAUUGGACAAUUUAAACCCUUUGCAGUUGCAAUCAGCGUCUGAAAAACAUAAUAGUUACAACUUUCAACAACGGAUCUCUUGGUUCUGGCAUCGAUGAAGAACGCAGCGAAAUGCGAUAAGUAGUGUGAAUUGCAGAAUUCAGUGAAUCAUCGAAUCUUUGAACGCACAUUGCGCCCCUUGGUAUUCCAUGGGGCAUGCCUGUUCGAGCGUCAUUUGUACCUUCAAGCAUUGCUUGGUGUUGGGUGUUUGUCUCGCCUUUGCGUGUAGACUCGCCUUAAAACAAUUGGCAGCCGGCGUAUUGAUUUCGGAGCGCAGUACAUCUCGCGCUUUGCACUCAUAACGACGACGUCCAAAAGUACAUUUAACACUAAAGACCUCGAUCAGUAGGAUAC